UACGAAGGGGGCUAGCGUUGCUCGGAAUCACUGGGCGUAAAGCGCACGUAGACGGAUCUUUAAGUCAGGGGUGAAAUCCCGGAGCUCAACUCCAGAACUGCCUUUGAUACUGGGGAUCUCGAGUCCGGAAGAGGUGAGUGGAACUCCGAGUGUAGAGGUGAAAUUCGUAGAUAUUCGGAAGAACACCAGUGGCGAAGGCGGCUCACUGGUCCGGUACUGACGCUGAGGUGCGAAAGCGUGGGGAGCAAACAGG
RNAcentral lists this ribosomal RNA (253 nucleotides) under uncultured bacterium. RNAcentral's name for it is "partial 16S ribosomal RNA". It matches the Rfam family "Bacterial small subunit ribosomal RNA", at positions 524 to 776 of the family's 1533-position model. The record is from RNAcentral.